Molecule: long non-coding RNA, 617 nt
Organism: Tarenaya hassleriana
Lineage: Eukaryota; Viridiplantae; Streptophyta; Magnoliopsida; Brassicales; Cleomaceae
Exons: 2
Source: RefSeq, a predicted model, not a curated record
AAAGGACAUCACUCUGAUGCGAUUAUGGUGGUCGUUUGGUUGCGCGUGUGUGUAUGUAUAUAUAUAUAUAUUAUAUAUGUGAGAAUUUGUAAAAUUUUGUUCUUCUCCCGAGUUUUGUUGUAGGGACAAAUUCCGUCGAUCAAAGUCGGUGAUCGGAAAACCAACAGAGCUGCGAAUUGAGGUGGUGAGAGAGAGGCAUGGCGCAGCCAAGCAAAGAACCCUGCAAAAAGGAGGCUUGCGAUAUUCAAUCAUUGUCUCUCCAAGAACAAUUUUCUUCCUCAAAGGUGCCGGAAAGUGAUAGAAAUGUUGCAGGCUUGUUGCGAGAGAUGCAAGUACGAGUCCACACACUGUGUUCUUCCGGCCGUACAUGACUUUGACCAAAGCUGAAGGCUUUUUCACACGGAGACUUGAUGAUAUUGAAGUGAAAAUAUAUCUUGAUUGGUUCAUGCUCUUUAGGGUUAUGGGUUGAGUUUGAAUCUGUAAGUAUUUUUUUUUUCCUGUGUGGGAAUUAUUUAUUGGUGAUUUUGAUGUAAUAACGAGAAGUAAAGUCCAAUGUUGUCUUGUAGCUUGAGAUGUAACUAUCACCCAUUAUUAUAAUUAUAUGAAUUUUGAUACAA